RNAcentral lists this ribosomal RNA (253 nucleotides) under uncultured bacterium. Its description in RNAcentral is "partial 16S ribosomal RNA". It matches the Rfam family "Bacterial small subunit ribosomal RNA", at positions 524 to 776 of the family's 1533-position model. The record is from RNAcentral.
UACGAGGGGGGCAAGCGUUGUUCGGAAUUAUUGGGCGUAAAGGGCGCGUAGGCGGUGCGGUAAGUCACCUGUGAAAACUCUGGGCUCAACUCAGAGCCUGCAGGCGAAACUGCCGUGCUUGAGUGUGGGAGAGGUGCGUGGAAUUCCCGGUGUAGCAGUGAAAUGCGUAGAGAUCGGGAGGAACAUCAGUUGCGAAGGCGGCUCUCUGGACCAGCACUGACACUGAGGCACGAAAGCGUGGGGAGCAAACAGG